Molecule: ribosomal RNA, 465 nt
Filed under: uncultured bacterium
Lineage: Bacteria
Description: partial 16S ribosomal RNA
Rfam family: Bacterial small subunit ribosomal RNA
Source: RNAcentral
GACGAACGCUGGCGGCGCGCCUAACACAUGCAAGUCGAACGAGCGAGAGAGAGCUUGCUUUCUCGAGCGAGUGGCGAACGGGUGAGUAACGCGUGAGGAACCUGCCUCAAAGAGGGGGACAACAGUUGGAAACGACUGCUAAUACCGCAUAAGCCCACGGCUCGGCAUCGAGCAGGGGGAAAAGGAGCAAUCCGCUUUGAGAUGGCCUCGCGUCCGAUUAGCUAGUUGGUGAGGUAACGGCCCACCAAGGCGACGAUCGGUAGCCGGACUGAGAGGUUGAACGGCCACAUUGGGACUGAGACACGGCCCAGACUCCUACGGGAGGCAGCAGUGGGGAAUAUUGCACAAUGGGGGAAACCCUGAUGCAGCGACGCCGCGUGGAGGAAGAAGGUCUUCGGAUUGUAAACUCCUGUUGUUGGGGAAGAUAAUGACGGUACCCAACAAGGAAGGGACGGCUAACUACGU